UACGUAGGGUGCGAGCGUUAAUCGGAAUUACUGGGCGUAAAGCGUGCGCAGGCGGUUUUGUAAGCCAGAUGUGAAAUCCCCGGGCUUAACCUGGGAAUGGCAUUUGGGACUGCAAGGCUCGAGUGCGGCAGAGGAGACUGGAAUUCCUGGUGUAGCAGUGAAAUGCGUAGAUAUCAGGAGGAACACCGAUGGCGAAGGCAGGUCUCUGGGCUGACACGUGACGCUCAUGCACGAA
Molecule: ribosomal RNA, 235 nt
Filed under: uncultured bacterium
Lineage: Bacteria
Description: partial 16S ribosomal RNA
Rfam family: Bacterial small subunit ribosomal RNA
Source: RNAcentral